This 2261-nucleotide long non-coding RNA is filed under the name Mytilus galloprovincialis (Mediterranean mussel). The record is from RNAcentral. Lineage: Eukaryota; Metazoa; Mollusca; Bivalvia; Mytilida; Mytilidae.
GGCAAGUCUAGAUCUGUUGGUCUUGUUUUAAAAGAUCAAAAUAAGCCAAUUUUGCCAUAUAACAUGUAUAAAAAUAUUUAAGGCAAUUUGUCAGAUAUUUUAACUUCAUUUCAUUUUACAUUAUUUCUUUUAGCAUUUUCUAUGGAAGUACAUGUACUUCAAGAAGAAGAAGAAGCUAAGCAACAGAAUGGAAUUCUCUGAGGCAUUGCUUUCUAGAUUAUAUGAUGGAUUCAUAGAUUUUCAUAUUGAUUUAUGUGCAUAUAAAGAGCAGCCGGCAAUUAUUUUAUGACGAGAGGUAUGUACAUGUAAUAAAAAGGAUAACUUUGUUUGAAUAUUUUGUUGUUGUCAGACUAUCUACAUGUUACACAUUUUGAUUUCGUGUAAGCUGUGAAAAAAUAUUUUUUCUACUGGACCAUUUUAUUGAAAAUAGCAUUGGAAGCUCUAUAUACACUCCAUUGCUUGUUCUUUUUAUACGACCACAAACAAUUUUUGGGGAUUGUAUAAUGGUAAGGUGUUGUCGUUAUCUGCAGCGUCCGAAGACACAUUGGUUUCCGAACAAUAACUUAGGUUUAAGUGCAUAAAUCUUUAUGAAUUUUGUUUAGAAGGUCCAAUACCACAAAAAAAGGUUGGGAUGAUUUUGGGGAUGAUGGUCGGAAGUCCCAACCGUUUAGGAAUUAGGGGCCCAAAAUGGGCCAAAAACAAGCAUUUUUCUAGUUUCAGGAUAAUAGCUUGUUUAUAAGUAUUUCAAUUGCUCUGAAAUUGUACCACAAUGUUUAAAACCACAAGUACAAGGUUUUGAUUCAGUUUAGGGGUCAUGGGGCCAAAGUUUAGGAAUAAGGGGCCAAAAACAAGCAUUUUUCUAGUUUCCAGACAAUAACUUGUGUGUAAUUGUAUAGAUCUCUCUGAAAUUGUACCACAAUGUUCCAUAUAACAAAGGGAAGGCUGGGAUAGAGUUUUGGGUUAGUUGCCCAAAAUAUGCAGGAAUUAGGGGCCAAAAAAAGAAGCAUGUUUCUAGUUUCCAGACAAUAACUUGUGUUUAAGUGACUCAUAGGCGGAUUAAGGUGGGAGGCCCAGGCAGCCCUGCCCCCCUCUUUUCUGGGAAAAUUUUGGUUGAUUAUAUAGGGAAACACUGAAGCAUGUCCGGAUCAGUCCCCCUCUUAGGCAGUCACUGGGCCCCAACAUAUGAAAAUUUCUGGAUCCGCCAUCGAGUGUAUGGAUCUCUCUGAAAUUGUACUACAAGGUUCCAUACUACAAAAGAAAGGAUGGGAUUGAGUUUUAGGGUUAUUGCUCCAAGGGGAUUUCAAUAAGUUGAGGGGGGGGGGAUAGUUUGUUUACAACUUUUUUAAGGGAUUCCUUUUUUUUUUCAAAAUUUUUCAAAUUUUUGAUUUUUGAAAAGUUUCAUGCAAUAAUGUUCAGCAAAGUAAGAUCUACAAUGGUCAACAUAACCAAAUUUUCAAUGGACCCCUUAAGCAGUUGUUGCCCUUUAUAGUCAAUUUUUAACAACUUUCUCGUAAAUUUUGCAAUCUUUUCCUCUUUUGUGUUUUUGAGCAAGAACUAAAGAAGAUAAAGAGAAACUUAACAGGCUAUUAAUAAAAUAUGUUUACAGGAGUUUUGCCUCUUGGAAAUAGAUAUUGAAUUUGUAAGGAAUUGCAUCCCACACAUGUCUACUUUUCUUGUAGAUUAUUUUUAUAAUUUAUGAAAAAAUGUUAAAAAAAAAGAACAUACUUAUUUGUUGUGGUUAUUGCUUUUUGACAGCAAAUUUUAUAUAUCCAUCAAUUGGUGAGGUACAUUGAAACACUGUUCUUUUAUUAAAUGCAUGAAGUAUACAGAUGGUAACACAAAUGACAACAUGUUAUUUUCAUGAGUUUAAUAUUUAUAUAUGUUGUAUUUCAACAAUUUUGCCUAUGAAACAGCAAAUCAAGAUUUAAUAAACCAGGAGUUAAUGCCUAAAUGGAUUUUUUUAAACUUAGGCAGAAGAAAUAGUUUUUUUAUAUAUACAUGAUAUAUGAAAAGUUCAUGCUAUACAUAUAUUUGUUGAUUUGUUUAUAAAUUGUUUCCAUUAACUCAAAAGUAAAAAGUAUUAAUUAGUGAGCAUCAGUUCAUACUACAUGUACAUUUAGUUUUUGUCUGGACUUUUGGAUUAACUUAAAAUUUAUAAUUUUAGCUUGUUACCAAAUGAAAGGAAAGUGCAGUAUUAGAAUCACUGGUGUACAUGCUAUGGUGUACAUGUACAUGAAGGUGCAGAUGUCCUGUAAAAAAAA